Spinacia oleracea (spinach) is the source of this 1060-nucleotide long non-coding RNA. RefSeq lists it as uncharacterized. The transcript is spliced from 2 exons. Lineage: Eukaryota; Viridiplantae; Streptophyta; Magnoliopsida; Caryophyllales; Amaranthaceae. The record is from RefSeq and is a predicted model, not a curated record.
GUGAGUUAAAAGGACUAGUGGACGAGUCGGGGCUAUGGGCGAAAAUUUCAAUACCGGGGGUAUUUCAGUCUUUUUAAACGGAAUAUGAAGGGUAUUUGCGUAUUUCCGUGUGCCAGUUAAAAAUUCGGAGAAAAUAAGAACGGGUUUGACUACUUGACCCCGUUUCCCGUUUUAUUUUUGAAAUUUGAAAUUUGAAAUUUGAAAUUUCAGUUUUGAAAAUCGGAAAAUGUGUCAUUGCUGUCACUUUCUCUCACCACAUUCAUUUCUCUCUUGCCUCUCAUCUCUCCUCUCUCCACUCUCGACCACUCAUCAUCUCUUGUCAUCCAUGGUUUCAACUGCUAAAAUUCCUAAAUCAAGGUUGUGGAAGUAUCAGAACGGAAGUAAUUUGGGUAUUUAACUCUUUGCAAGUUACUUCAUAUCCAAAGUUCAAGAUCUAUAUUUGAAUUUGGCCCCUUUUCAGAUUAGAUGCAUCGCAAGAAAUUGGCUGAUGUUUCCUAUUGAAGGAGCUAUAUCCUGGUAAAAUUGAAGAGCAGUACAGCUAUGGCGGCGACGAGUUGAAGAAAUUGGGCAAAGUUUCUAGGGUUUUGGUAUUUUCUUUGGGACAAAUUAUUAUUGGACAGUGUUGGAGGUAGAAGAAGGGUGGCUUCCAUGGCAUCCAUGAAAGAAAGUGAAGAAGGAAGGGGGAGAGAGAAAAGGAAAAUAAAAAAAAGAGUUAAAUAGGGGAUUAGUGGGUUAAUUAGAGGUUAAUUGGGUUAAUUAGGGGCUGAUGACGUUAUUUAUGGUAUUUGGUGAAUUAUAUUGAAGGUUAGGGGUAUUUGGUGAAUUUUGAAACGUCGAGGGGUAUUUGGUGAAUUUCGUGAAAACUCAGGGGCAUUUCAUGAAAAAACCGUUUUAAAAAAUGAGGGCAUCUUUAAAGAUGUCAUUUCAGCCAAUGAAUGGCAUGAUAUACAAGAUUCCAUGUACUCUAGGAGUACAUAUAGCACCAUCCCCUUUUGUUAUGUUUUUAACCCUUAAACUUAUGUUAUCUUAUGUUAUUUUAUAUUAUUGGCUUUUAUCGGAA